CGCGUACUUCCUCCGUCACAAAAUUCUUAUCUUUGAUUUAUCUAAAUAUGAAUGUAGUCAUGUGUUUGUAUUUAAAUACAUUCAUUUCUAAGCAAACUUAAGACAAGAAUUUUAGGACGGAAGGAAUACUUU
This is a non-coding RNA of Hordeum vulgare subsp. vulgare (domesticated barley), 132 nucleotides long. The record is from Rfam. NCBI's taxonomy places the organism in Eukaryota, Viridiplantae, Streptophyta, Magnoliopsida, Poales, Poaceae.